GGCACAGUGGUUUAGUGGUUAGCACGUGUGCUUCGCACCUCUGAUAUUGGGGGUUCGAAUCCUGUUUCUGCCC
Molecule: non-coding RNA, 73 nt
Organism: Pangasius djambal
Lineage: Eukaryota; Metazoa; Chordata; Actinopteri; Siluriformes; Pangasiidae
Source: the annotation of a GenBank genome assembly